Molecule: ribosomal RNA, 258 nt
Filed under: Triticum aestivum (bread wheat)
Lineage: Eukaryota; Viridiplantae; Streptophyta; Magnoliopsida; Poales; Poaceae
Description: partial small subunit ribosomal RNA
Source: RNAcentral
AGCUCCAAGAAUACGCGGAGGAGGUGGCCCGGGUCGGCGUUGGCGCCGUCCGGCGCGGGCCACGGGCCCGCUUUCAAGUGCGUCUGCGCGCCGGCCACCCACGCCGGGUCCUUCAAGUGCCACUUUCAUCGCACCAACUCCCAGGGCCACGGCCAGGGAAGCCGCCCUUCUUCGCCCCCUUCACCGGCCGCGGCCAACGCGGUGCCGCGGCACCCGGCCUCGCCAUCCUCAUCCUCCAGCGCUGUCGCGACCCAGUGA